ACCGUCAUAACACUCAACACCGCAUGCGUUUGAUUUGAAAGGCGCUUUCGGGUGUCGCUGAUGGAUGGACCCGCGGUGCAUUAGCUAGUUGGUGAGGUAACGGCUCACCAAGGCCACGAUGCAUAGCCGACCUGAGAGGGUGAUCGGCCACAUUGGGACUGAGACACGGCCCAAACUCCUACGGGAGGCAGCAGUAGGGAAUCUUCGGCAAUGGACGAAAGUCUGACCGAGCAACGCCGCGUGAGUGAAGAAGGUUUUCGGAUCGUAAAACUCUGUUGUUAGAGAAGAACAAGGAUGAGAGUAACUGUUCAUCCCUUGACGGUAUCUAACCAGAAAGCCACGGCUAACUACGUGCCAGCAGCCGCGGUAAUACGUAGGUGGCAAGCGUUGUCCGGAUUUAUUGGGCGUAAAGCGAGCGCAGGCGGUUUCUUAAGUCUGAUGUGAAAGCCCCCGGCUCAACCGGGGAGGGUCAUUGGAAACUGGGAGACUUGAGUGCAGAAGAGGAGAGUGGAAUUCCAUGUGUAGCGGUGA
RNAcentral lists this ribosomal RNA (531 nucleotides) under uncultured bacterium. Its description in RNAcentral is "bacterial SSU rRNA". It matches the Rfam family "Bacterial small subunit ribosomal RNA", at positions 167 to 684 of the family's 1533-position model. The record is from RNAcentral.